AUGGAGAAGCAUGUUUUUGGAGCUGUAGCUGCAAUAUUGGGAGACAAUCUGUCAUCUCACAUGAUAGGUGGAUUUGCCAUGUCUUUUGGUGCUGGUCGAAUCUGUAGAUACUGCAUGGCUACUCACUCUGAGAUGAAAAAGAACUUCAGUGAAUCUGAUUUUGUUUUAAGAAAUGUUGAUGUACACAGAUACCAUUUAGAAUGUGUAAAACAAAAUCCAGAAAACAAAGGAAUGUAUGGAGUUCGUGGUGGAUGUGUAUUUGACCAGUUAGAUUACUUUGACGUCACAACAUCUCUUCCUCCAGAUGUCAUGCAUGAUUUCUUGGAGGGUGUAGCACCGUUGGUAUUGAGGCUUGUUGUAUGUAAAGCUCAUCAAGAAAAACAUAUAACCAUACAAGAACUAAAUGAUGAACUAAGAAAGAUGUCCAUUGGACAAAAUGAUAAGACAAAUAAGCCUGUGCCUUUCUCAGAAAAUAUUUUACAUGGAUCCAGUGUUGUUGGAUCUGCUUCACAGAAGUGGUGUUUAUUCCGCCUACUUCCUUUCUUGAUGGCACACAGGGUACCUGAAGGCUGCAGUUACUGGUGGAUCUAUUUACUGUGUCGUGAAAUUGCUGACAUUGUAAUGGCACCGGUUGUAAAAAAAGAGUCCCUUCUUCUUCUUGACCAAUUAGUUUCUGAGUUUUUGUGUGGCAUGGAAAAAGAGUUUGGAAAUGUGAUAACUCCAAAAUGUCAUUACUUGAUCCAUUAUUCUCGUCUUAUGUUGUCCUACGGUCCUUUACGGUCUUUGUGGUGCAUGAGAUUUGAAGGGAAACAUCAGUAUUUCAAACAGGUAGCUAGUUCCUCAAGGAACUUUAUCAAUGUUACAUCAACUUUAAGCAGCCGCCAUCAGUUUAGACAGUGUUGGGAAUUUUCCUCAACUAAUAUGUUUGGGGAGUAUGAGAGGGUUAUGGGACGCAGUGUUAACACACUGUUACAGUCUCUUCCUUCAGCUCUUAGGCAUUCCAUAACUGUUAGUGAGCAUUACAAACAUGUCCAUUUUCAGGACAUUACACUCAACCGAGUAACAGAGGUAGUGAUUAACAGUGUUAAAUACUGUGUGGGAGAUGUCUUUGUUGUGGGUCAUUUGCACUGUGAAAAAAUACCUUUGUUUUUUCAGGUCAAAUAUGUUCUAAACAUACACACAGAUUGGGCGUUAUGUGGAAAACUAUUAAUUCCUCUUUCUUUCUGUCAUCACUAUUACGCCUACUUGGUGAAAUAUGAACAGGACUGGACUGUCCUUGUCGAUGAUAAACUGUUUGUUAGUAUGCGGCAUUUAUGUUAAGCUGUGUUGGGAGGGUUGUAGAGCGUUGUGGAUGAGCUCAAAGCUUGUGUUUUUUAAUCCAGAACACAUCAAGUGUCAUGUAGUUUAUCCGUUAAGUGACUCUCUUUACUUUGGUGUGGUGUGCUAAAGUGUUUUGCUUGGUCUUUGAUAAUAAACUUAUGUUUUUCUGCA
Molecule: long non-coding RNA, 1491 nt
Organism: Cyprinus carpio (common carp)
Lineage: Eukaryota; Metazoa; Chordata; Actinopteri; Cypriniformes; Cyprinidae
Source: Ensembl